RNAcentral lists this ribosomal RNA (780 nucleotides) under Acinetobacter sp. RNAcentral describes it as "bacterial SSU rRNA". It matches the Rfam family "Bacterial small subunit ribosomal RNA", at positions 58 to 832 of the family's 1533-position model. Lineage: Bacteria; Pseudomonadati; Pseudomonadota; Gammaproteobacteria; Moraxellales; Moraxellaceae. The record is from RNAcentral.
CAAGUCGAGCGGGGUGAUGUAGCUUGCUACAUUACCUAGCGGCGGACGGGUGAGUAAUGCUUAGGAAUCUGCCUAUUAGUGGGGGACAACAUUCCGAAAGGAAUGCUAAUACCGCAUACGCCCUACGGGGGAAAGCAGGGGAUCUUCGGACCUUGCGCUAAUAGAUGAGCCUAAGUCAGAUUAGCUAGUUGGUGGGGUAAAGGCCUACCAAGGCGACGAUCUGUAGCGGGUCUGAGAGGAUGAUCCGCCACACUGGGACUGAGACACGGCCCAGACUCCUACGGGAGGCAGCAGUGGGGAAUAUUGGACAAUGGGCGAAAGCCUGAUCCAGCCAUGCCGCGUGUGUGAAGAAGGCCUUUUGGUUGUAAAGCACUUUAAGCGAGGAGGAGGCUACUUGGAUUAAUACUCUAGGAUAGUGGACGUUACUCGCAGAAUAAGCACCGGCUAACUCUGUGCCAGCAGCCGCGGUAAUACAGAGGGUGCGAGCGUUAAUCGGAUUUACUGGGCGUAAAGCGUGCGUAGGCGGCUUCUUAAGUCGGAUGUGAAAUCCCUGAGCUUAACUUAGGAAUUGCAUUCGAUACUGGGAAGCUAGAGUAUGGGAGAGGAUGGUAGAAUUCCAGGUGUAGCGGUGAAAUGCGUAGAGAUCUGGAGGAAUACCGAUGGCGAAAGGCAGCCAUCUGGCCUAAUACUGACGCUGAGGUACGAAGCAUGGGGAGCAAACAGGAUUAGAUACCCUGGUAGUCCAUGCCGUAAACGAUGUCUACUAGCCGUUGGGGCCUU